GAUGUGGGUGAGAAUCCCACAGGCCGUAAACCCAAGGUUUCCAGGGGAAGGUUCGUCCGCCCUGGGUUAGUCGGGACCUAAGCUGAGGCCGAAAGGCGUAGGCGAUGGACAACAGGUUGAUAUUCCUGUACUACCGAUAACCGUUUGAGAGAAGGGAUGACACAGUAGGAUAAGCUAAGCACACUGUUGGUUAUGUGUGCCCAAG
Molecule: ribosomal RNA, 205 nt
Filed under: Clostridioides difficile
Lineage: Bacteria; Bacillati; Bacillota; Clostridia; Peptostreptococcales; Peptostreptococcaceae
Description: partial 23S ribosomal RNA
Rfam family: Bacterial large subunit ribosomal RNA
Source: RNAcentral